CGCGUAGGCGGCCAGCGCAAGUCAGUUGUGAAAUCUCCGGGCUUAACUCGGAACGGUCAACUGAUACUGCGCGGCUAGAGUGCGGAAGGGGCAACUGGAAUUCUCGGUGUAGCGGUGAAAUGCGUAGAUAUCGAGAGGAACACCUGCGGCGAAGGCGGGUUGCUGGGCCGACACUGACGCUGAUGCGCGAAAGCCAGGGGAGGCGAACG
This 209-nucleotide ribosomal RNA is filed under the name uncultured bacterium. RNAcentral describes it as "partial 16S ribosomal RNA". It matches the Rfam family "Bacterial small subunit ribosomal RNA", at positions 568 to 774 of the family's 1533-position model. The record is from RNAcentral.